RNAcentral lists this ribosomal RNA (251 nucleotides) under uncultured prokaryote. RNAcentral's name for it is "partial 16S ribosomal RNA". It matches the Rfam family "Bacterial small subunit ribosomal RNA", at positions 525 to 775 of the family's 1533-position model. The record is from RNAcentral.
ACGUAGGUGGCAAGCGUUGUCCGGAAUUAUUGGGCGUAAAGCGCGCGCAGGCGGUUCCUUAAGUCUGAUGUGAAAGCCCCCGGCUCAACCGGGGAGGGUCAUUGGAAACUGGGGAACUUGAGUGCAGAAGAGGAGAGCGGAAUUCCACGUGUAGCGGUGAAAUGCGUAGAGAUGUGGAGGAACACCAGUGGCGAAGGCGGCUCUCUGGUCUGUAACUGACGCUGAGGCGCGAAAGCGUGGGGAGCGAACAG